AAUCCGGAAUCCUUUCACGGAUCCAUGCAAGCCUUCCCUGCCUUUCCUCCUUUUUUCCCUUUCCCUGUUCCGGCCCCCCUGGCCUCAAUUUUACUUACCGGGGUUUUUAGGACUUCUUCCCGGGGGCGGGAAAGAAAAACAAAGGAUCCCUGAGUACGGCGAAUGACAAGGAAAAGCCCAGCACCGAAACCUGGGGUCAUUUGGUCACUAGGCAAUGGGUGUUCAGGUCGUUCCAUAGAGGUGCUGCUCCACCCUAAGUCCAGCAAUGAGUACGGUGGUACGGACAUGGCCCACAGAGGGUGAAAGGCCCGUGGGGGUGGAGAUCAGGCAGCCCAGUGCCUCUCUGGGUAGACCUUGGAGUCGGGUUGUUUGUGAAUGCAGCCCAAAGUGGGUGGUAAACUCCAUCCAAGGCUAAAUACUUGCACGAGUCCGAUAGCGAACAAGUACCGUGAGGGAAAGUUGAAAAGUACUUUGAAGAGAGAGUAAACAGUGCGUGAAACCGCUCAGAGGUAAACAGGUGGAGUUGAACUGCAAGCUUUGGGGAUUCAGCUGGUGAGUGUGGUUUGAGCUUGGUCAAGUCGGUUGGACAUUGGGGUCUGUGUAGCAACAGGUCUCUGCCCUUGGGCAGGGAUGCGCGAUGCACUUAUCAGGUGUUGUGCGCCUCUUUGUUUAUCGGGCCAAUUUGCCAGUGCACUUUCUCAGAGUGUUCACCACGACCGGCACUGCUGUCUGACUACUGUGGUUAAACCGGACUUACAGAGCACUUGUGGUUUUGUAUGGCCGGGAAGGCAGGUAGCUCGUUGGCUAGCUUGUGGUUUACUGCAGGCGUUUGGUCUUCGAGUGUAAUUAGCUGACCACGAUUGUUCUGUGCGGUGUGUCGGAGACGGCGGCUUGUGGUACUUGCGUGCGUGCCGGUCCUGCUGGCGUGUUCGGGUUUGGUUGCCAUGUUGCUUGUGAAUGCAGGCCUGGUGAUAGCUCGGAUUCGUUCAGUUGGCGGUUGCGUGCGUGGUGCCGUUAAGGGCCAACAGUCUGUGGUGUAGUGGUAGACUAUCCACCUGACCCGUCUUGAAACACGGACCAAGGAGAGUAACAUGUGCGCGAGUCAUUGGGCGUAACGAAACCCACAGGCGCAGUGAAAGUAAAGGCCCGGCUUGUCCAGGCUGAAGUGAGAUCCUGUCGUUUUCACGCAUGGUACCACCAAGCAACGAGCGGCAGGCGCAUCACCGGCCCGUCCCAUGACGUAGACACAUAAUCUUCGGACCAGUGCACCGUCGGGGCGGAACAUGACCGUACAUGUUGAGACCCGAAAGAUGGUGAACUAUGCUUGCCCAGGUUGAAGCCAGAGGAAACUCUGGUGGAGGACCCAACCGAUUCUGACGUGAAAUCGAUCGUCAAACGGAAGUAAGGGGCGAAAGAUAAUCAAACCAUAAGACUGCCCCUCAAGUUUUCCCCCGAAGAAGAAGAAAAUAAAAGGUUGGUUUUUUAAUGGACCGACGACUAGCUACAUGCGGUCGUCCGUACUUACUCAUUGACUAUGACUUACUGGUGGAUCG
Molecule: ribosomal RNA, 1553 nt
Filed under: Paragonimus heterotremus
Lineage: Eukaryota; Metazoa; Platyhelminthes; Trematoda; Plagiorchiida; Troglotrematidae
Description: eukaryotic LSU rRNA
Rfam family: Eukaryotic large subunit ribosomal RNA
Source: RNAcentral